AUAUCUCUCUGUACGGGAAGGAUGAGAAGCUUCGACUAAGGUUCGAUUCGAGCGCAGCGAGAAAGCGUUGCCGCAGGCAACGACCCGAAGGGCGAAGCGCGCAGCGCUGAGUCAUCCUUCCCCCA
Molecule: small RNA, 125 nt
Filed under: Salmonella enterica subsp. enterica serovar Muenchen
Lineage: Bacteria; Pseudomonadati; Pseudomonadota; Gammaproteobacteria; Enterobacterales; Enterobacteriaceae
Also listed under: 1 other name
Description: partial RtT sRNA
Rfam family: RtT RNA
About the family: This family represents a bacterial cis-regulatory element known as RtT RNA. The exact function of RtT is unknown although it is thought that it may be involved in changing the cellular response in relation to amino acid starvation.
Source: RNAcentral